This 538-nucleotide ribosomal RNA is filed under the name uncultured bacterium. RNAcentral's name for it is "bacterial SSU rRNA". It matches the Rfam family "Bacterial small subunit ribosomal RNA", at positions 971 to 1509 of the family's 1533-position model. The record is from RNAcentral.
UUACCUGGCCUUGACAUACUAAGAACUUUCCAGAGAUGGAUUGGUGCCUUCGGGAACUUAGAUACAGGUGCUGCAUGGCUGUCGUCAGCUCGUGUCGUGGGAUGUUGGGUUAAGUCCGCAACGAGCGCAACCCUUUUCCUUAUUUGCCAGCGGGUCAUGCCGGGAACUUUAAGGAUACUGCCAGUGACAAACUGGAGGAAGGCGGGGACGACGUCAAGUCAUCAUGGCCCUUACGGCCAGGGCUACACACGUGCUACAAUGGUCGGUACAAAGGGUUGCUACCUCGCGAGAGGAUGCUAAUCUCAAAAAGCCGAUCGUAGUCCGGAUCGCAGUCUGCAACUCGACUGCGUGAAGUCGGAAUCGCUAGUAAUCGCGGAUCAGAAUGCCGCGGUGAAUACGUUCCCGGGCCUUGUACACACCGCCCGUCACACCAUGGGAGUUUGUUGCACCAGAAGUAGGUAGUCUAACCGCAAGGAGGACGCUUACCACGGUGUGGCCGAUGACUGGGGUGAAGUCGUAACAAGGUAAGCGUACUACA